CCCUUAGAUGUUCUGGGCUGCACGCGCGCUACACUGAUGCGCACAACGAGUUCUCACCUUGCUCGACAGAGUUGGGAAAACUUUUAUGCGCAUCGUGCUGGGGAUAGAGCAUUGCAAUUCUUGCUCUUAAACGAGGAAUUCCUAGUAAGUGCAAGUCAUCAACUUGCGCUGAUUGCGUCCCUGCCCUUUGUACACACCGCCCGUCGCUCCUACCGAUUGAAUGUGUUGGUGAGGAGCUCGGAUUGGCAGCAGUUGGUGGUUCGCCACCGGCUAUUGCUGAGAAGUCCUCCAAACCGCCCCAUUUAGAGGAAGGAGAAGUCGUAACA
This 326-nucleotide ribosomal RNA is filed under the name uncultured eukaryote. RNAcentral describes it as "partial 18S ribosomal RNA". It matches the Rfam family "Eukaryotic small subunit ribosomal RNA", at positions 1470 to 1796 of the family's 1831-position model. The record is from RNAcentral.